This 545-nucleotide long non-coding RNA is filed under the name Canis lupus familiaris (dog). RNAcentral describes it as "lncRNA (ENSCAFG00845017029.1)". Lineage: Eukaryota; Metazoa; Chordata; Mammalia; Carnivora; Canidae. The record is from RNAcentral.
CAAGCAUCAUCAUCUUCAUUGCAGGCUUAAAAAUGAAUACCAGUUUAUGCACCAGUACAAAUUUAAUCAGACUCUAAUGUGCGCUUGCUGAAACACAAUCAAUGCUUGCAACACAUUAUUCCAGUUGAUUAAAAAAAAUGUAACAUUAAGAAUAAGCAAUUGGCAUAACAUUAUAAUGGAUAUUAAUUGUCAGGUUUUGAGAGUCUGUGUCAUGUUCCCGACGGCUUCUAGCAACAAACCACAUCUUCCAAUAAGCAGAAUGAGUUAAGAGGGGAGCAAAGCAGAGAGUGUCUUCCAGGGGUGCCCAUUCGUCAGCGUCAGCAGGAGACAAGCGGCUGCUAAAUAAACCCAGCUCCCUCUUUCUGGUCUCCAGGAAUCCACAAGGGAAGCAGAGCAGGAAACGAGUAGAGAAGCAAGGAGCCGACUCAGCAUCAGCCUCUGAGUUGGGCAACUUAUCAGAUCUGAAAGCUGGAGUGGCUUACUGGACGUCUGUGGGAAGAUUGAAGACACACUGCCCAUGCCCAAGGUUAGGCACAGCAUCCAGG